This 933-nucleotide ribosomal RNA is filed under the name Staphylococcus sp. C63. RNAcentral describes it as "bacterial SSU rRNA". It matches the Rfam family "Bacterial small subunit ribosomal RNA", at positions 58 to 969 of the family's 1533-position model. The record is from RNAcentral. Lineage: Bacteria; Bacillati; Bacillota; Bacilli; Caryophanales; Staphylococcaceae.
CAAGUCGAGCGAACAGAUAAGGAGCUUGCUCCUUUGACGUUAGCGGCGGACGGGUGAGUAACACGUGGGUAACCUACCUAUAAGACUGGAAUAACUCCGGGAAACCGGGGCUAAUGCCGGAUAACAUGUUGAACCGCAUGGUUCUACAGUGAAAGACGGUCUUGCUGUCACUUAUAGAUGGACCCGCGCCGUAUUAGCUAGUUGGUGGGGUAACGGCCUACCAAGGCGACGAUACGUAGCCGACCUGAGAGGGUGAUCGGCCACACUGGAACUGAGACACGGUCCAGACUCCUACGGGAGGCAGCAGUAGGGAAUCUUCCGCAAUGGGCGAAAGCCUGACGGAGCAACGCCGCGUGAGUGAUGAAGGUCUUCGGAUCGUAAAGCUCUGUUGUUAGGGAAGAACAAAUGUGUAAGUAACUGUGCACAUCUUGACGGUACCUAACCAGAAAGCCACGGCUAACUACGUGCCAGCAGCCGCGGUAAUACGUAGGUGGCAAGCGUUAUCCGGAAUUAUUGGGCGUAAAGCGCGCGUAGGCGGUUUUUUAAGUCUGAUGUGAAAGCCCACGGCUCAACCGUGGAGGGUCAUUGGAAACUGGAAAACUUGAGUGCAGAAGAGGAAAGUGGAAUUCCAUGUGUAGCGGUGAAAUGCGCAGAGAUAUGGAGGAACACCAGUGGCGAAGGCGGCUUUCUGGUCUGCAACUGACGCUGAUGUGCGAAAGCGUGGGGAUCAAACAGGAUUAGAUACCCUGGUAGUCCACGCCGUAAACGAUGAGUGCUAAGUGUUAGGGGGUUUCCGCCCCUUAGUGCUGAUCAGCUAACGCAUUAAGCACUCCGCCUGGGGAGUACGGUCGCAAGACUGAAACUCAAAGGAGAGUUGACGGGGACCCGCACAACGGUGGAGCAUGUGGUUUAAUUCGAAGCAACGCGAAGAAC